AUGCUCACUUCAGCAGCACAUAUACUAAAAUUGGAACAAUAUAGAGAAGAUUAGCAUGGCCCCUGCACAAGGAUGACAUGCAAAUUCAUGAAGCAUUCCAUAUUUAA
Molecule: small nuclear RNA, 107 nt
Organism: Myotis lucifugus (little brown bat)
Lineage: Eukaryota; Metazoa; Chordata; Mammalia; Chiroptera; Vespertilionidae
Source: Ensembl